AGAACAUUGUGCCUGGGAUCUUUGUUCGCAAGCUGUGUCCAGGUCGGGCGUCAAUGAGGGUCCCACCUGUGGAUCGAGGACGAAGAAGAAUGUGGAAAUUUCCGAACCUUGGCGGACAGACACCCGACUGAAAAGGGCUAGGCCACCCGCAGCGGCGGGGUUACCCGAAGUGUCUAAGGCUCUGCUGUAAUUGCCAACGUAGCCCGGAGAAAAGGGGCAACCGCUGUGGAAGGCCGCUGCGACGCCUCGGGCUCCUCAGAAGCUGAAAUGGGGCACAAGGCCAAGCAGAAUGGUUUUCAUCUCCAAAGCGCCGUUUUACCUUCGCUAGCAUCCCCGUCAGCUGGACCAAGGAAGGGUUUUGGGUCCGCAACUGUGAGUCCAACCCCAGUCCGCGGAGCCACUAGCUUCCGCAACACCCUUUUCGAAGGCACCGCCCCAACUCUUGAAACCUGUAUAUUGUACAACUUUUGUUAAAACACUGACGGCAUUCAUCUCCCAACGCUGUUUUGCGUGAUGGGUCCCUCUGACCUCCACUAAGAAAGGGGUUUCGGGGCCACUUGUCUCUAUGAAUUUUCAAUAAUAAUAAUAAUAAUAAUAAUAAUAAUAAUAACAACAAUAAUACAUUUUGUCCUAAUGAUUCGUGUGGACCAAGAAUGAGGUGGUUAUUGUUUUGGUACUGGUAAAAUCAAAUAUUUUUCAAAGACUCUCCCUCAAC
This 715-nucleotide long non-coding RNA is filed under the name Mus caroli (Ryukyu mouse). Its description in RNAcentral is "predicted gene 17028 (MGP_CAROLIEiJ_G0004671.1)". Lineage: Eukaryota; Metazoa; Chordata; Mammalia; Rodentia; Muridae. The record is from RNAcentral.